GGAAGACCUUUCUCUCUGUCUCUCUCUCUCUCUCACUGUCUAACUCUGCCUGUCAAAAAAUAAAAAAAAAAAAAAUAAAAAAAAAAUACCGGUUGAAAGUACUAUCUUGCAAAUGAAAUGAAAAGUAAAAGAAUAAAAAUAAACUAAAAAAGUAGGAAAAAAAGAAAGCCAAUUCAGACUCCAGGCUGUGAUCAGCCUUAGCCCUAGAAGAUAUUGUUAGCUAAUGUUCUGUAUAUGCUGUAUAUGCGCCAAAUAGCCUUGCCUCUGAGGAAUUUUUAAUUUGAAAAGAAGCCAGAGGAUAGCACAAUGCUGUCCUGUGGUUCAGAGACUGUGACAAUGUGAUGCUAUAUUUUGCAAGUGAUGUGGCAGGACCCUUUUUUGAUUUUUCAUGAGUUUCAGUGAACUAGUUUUUGUUGGACAAUCUUACAAGCUAAGAGUAACUAUUAAGUGCCUGGUGCUACAUCGGAAAUAAUGAUUCAUAUUUUUUGAUUAUUUUUAUUUAUUUAUUUAUUUAUUUAUUUGAAAUGCAGCGUGAGACAGAGAUCUUCCCUAUGUUGAUUCAUUCUCCAGAUGCCCACAAUAGCUAGUUUUGGGCCAGGCCAAAGCCAGGAGCCUAGAACUGAAACCAUGUCUCCUCCGUGGGUGCCAGGUACACAACUACUUGAGCCAUCAUCUGCGAUCUUCUAACAUUUAAAUUAUAGGAAGUUGUAUAUGAAGUGGAGCCAAAACUCAAACACAGAGCCUCUGAUGUGGGGUUUAUGUAUCCCAAGCAGUGACUUGACCACUGUGCCAGACCACAACCUUCUUUGAUUAUUUUAAAAAGUAAUGUAUUUUGAUACAGAAAAAGUUGACUACUGUAGAUAAUCAGGCAAUAUUGUUCUGCUUAGCUCUGGCUUUCCAAAAUGUGCAAAUCUCUUUUCUUUUAAUUGAUGUAUUCCCGUUAUUUUAAUUUAAUUUAACACAUGUCCUGGGUCUAAGAAAAGUAAAAGAAUGAGAGUUUUUGAUAUUCAUAUACAUUAAAAACUGUGGCAGCUUACUUACAUGUUACCUGUCGCUUGAAUAUCCAUGGCAAAUAUCUUGUGUAUAUUGCUGCUAUUGCUGGAAUCAAUCUCUCUCUCCAUCUCUCCCUCUCUCUCUCUCUCUAUGGGGUCAGGGAACAAGUUGACAGUAUAGUGGGAAGAGACUUGAUACCAGUGUCCAGAGUUGGUAUUCAAAGAAUAUUUUCAAAUGGAAAUGGUGUUCAAAUGGUAACUGGAUAUCUAUGCUAGACCCAAAUCUAAUUAACUCAAAUAUUAAAAAUUUACUAAUGCUUUAUUUUUCCCAUUUUAUUGUGAACAUAUAGUGGUUAAUCAAUAAAAGAUAGAUGGUGGACUUUCUAAGUGCCUGUAAACUAACAUAAUACUAACUUAAUUAGUAUUUUGGAACCUUCUGCCUACACUCUAACUUUACUCUCCUGAGAUUCUUUUGGUUCAAAGUGAGAAGCAUCUUUGACUUUAGAAAGUAAAUUUAGGAGCCAGUGUUGUGGCACAGCAAACCGAGCUGCUGCUCGUGAGGCCGGCGUUCUGUCUCGCAGUGCUGGUUUGAGUCAUGACCGCUCUGCUUCUCUUCAGCUCUCUGCUAAUGCUCCUGAGAAAGUAGCAGAAGGUGGCCCAAGUACUUAGGCCCCUGCCACUCAUGUGGGAAACCCAGAUGGAGUUCUAGGCUCCUGACUUUGCCCUGGCCCAGCCCUAACUAUUGCAGCCAUUUGGGAAAUGAACCAGCAUAUAGAAGAUCUCUCUGACUCUGUCCUUCUCUCUCUCUCUCUCUCUCUCUCUCUCUCUCUCUCUGUGUGUGUGUGUGUGUGUGUGUAUUUGACUCUCCCUUUCAAAUAAAGAAAUCUUUUUUAAAAAAAUCUUCAGGGGGCUGGUAUUUGGAGCCGUGGUUAAGAUGCCACUUGGGUUGCUAGCAUCACGUAUUGGAAAUCCUGGGUUGAAUUCCAGCUCCACUUCUGAUUCUGGCUUCCUGCUGAUUUACACUAUGGGAGGCAGCAGAUCAUGGCUCGGGUAUUUUGAUCCCUGACACCCAUAUGGGCUACCAGAUUUGAAUUCUGGGUUUCUGGCUUCUGCUUGGCCCAACCCUGGCCAUUGCAGGCAUAUGGGGAGUGAACCAGCAGGUGGAAGAUCUGUUUCUGUCUCUAUCUCUGCCUUUCAACUGAAGUGAAACUAAUAAUUUUUUUUAAAAAAGUAACUUUAGCUUAGGUGAAAUGUUGUUACUUUCUCUUUCAUAUUGAGCUUUCUCCUCCUAAGUCUUUCAAUGCACACUUUUCAUGGAAACUUCUUUGUCCGAGCCACUGACUUGUUAUCCCUUGCCAACAUCAGUCCUGAUGCUGAGUUUGCAGUGCAGUUGUCAAUUGAAGAAAGUUUGACAGAUACUUCCUUAGUGUGCUUUCAAACAGCCCUAUUGUAUACAUCAAGCAAAGGUGAGCAGAGAAUUAGAGUGCAUAUGCUUUGUUUGCCAGUGGUAAGUUCACUAGCAGAUGUAUAUGCAGGAGUGGAUGUUCAAGCUGCCAUCUGCCUUCUAGCAAAUAUGGCUGUGGAUCGAUCAGUGUCAUCAAGUCUGUCAGAUGCAAGAGACGCCUUAGUGAAUGCAGUAGUGGAUUCAUUGUCUGCAUAUGGCUCAAUUGUUUCAAAUUUUCAGCACUCUGCACUGAUUGCACCCAACUUCCUCAAAUUGUUUCCACUCUAUGUUUUGGUACUUCUCAAACAGAAAGCCUUUAGAACAUGUACAAGCACACGCCUAGAUGAUCGUGUGUAUGCCAUGUGUCAGAUAAAGUCUCAGCCACUUGUUCAUCUAAUGAAAAUGAUUCAUCCCAACUUAUACAGGAUAGACAGAUUGACAGAUGAGGGUGCAAUUCAUGUUAAUGACAGGGUUGUACCUCAGCCACCUCUUCAAAAACUGUCUGCAGAGAAGGUGCUUUCCUCAUGGACUGUGGCUCUGUUUUUUACAUUUGGAUUGGAAAAGGCUGUGAAAAUAACUUCAUAGAGGAUGUACUGGGGUGCCCUAAUUUUGCAUCAAUUCCACAGAAAAUGACACAUCUUCCAGAACUAGAUACACUUUCAUCAGAAAGAACCAGAUCUUUUAUAACUUGGCUAAGAGACAACAGACCACUAAGCCCAGUCCUUCAUGUGGUGAAAGAUGAGAGUCCUGCCAAAACAGAAUUUUUUCUGCAUUUGAUUGAAGACCAGACAGAAGCUGCAUUCUCUUAUUAUGAAUUUUUGCUUCACGUUCAGCAGCAAAUUUGUAAGUGAAGUAGAAUAAAAUGGAAUAAGAAAAAGGUUUAUUAUCUAGGUAAAGCAUUAUCUGUUGACGAAGCACACAAGAAAUGUGGAAUGCAGGAGCUUGCUGUUACAUGAUUCAAUGCACUGUACUCUGAGGUCGUGGCAAAAGAUAAAGGCGAAAAGAGAACUUGACAGAUUUUCUUCAGCCUGAAAUAAUGGUAGGGAUGACGCCGUUUUGCCCAGUAUGUUUUGAAUUGGUUUCUAUACAUUUCCAGUAGUGCAGCAGUAUAGUGUUCUCUUUGUUGCCAACGGGCAAAUUGAUACAACUGUGUGGAAUGAUAUGUCCUAAUAUAAAAUUAGAUAAAUUCUUUUGUCUUACUAUUAAUAUAACAUUUUUGGCGUGAAUUCUGACAAAAGAUUCCAAAAAGGCAGCAGGUACCAUGUUAUUUGUUUAUAUGAAUUACUUUUUAACAAGGAAUGAUUCCUAUUCAUUAAAUAAAUUCAGCAUUUUCCCUGUAAAAACAAUAGUUUCAGAACACGAACUAUAGAGAAGCAUAUGUAUAUAUGUAUAAUGUACAUAACUGUUACAUUUGUAAAGAAAGUAUAAAAAUGUAGCUACAGAACAGGAAUUGCUUAUACUGCUCUGGGUUGUUGGAUGACAUCUCUUUUUGUCACGGUUAGAGAAUGUGAUUGACCAAUGCAUAUUCUGCAUUGAGUCCACAAAUGGGACACAAACUCUUUGUAAUUCUGCUAAAUCUUUUAUGAGGAUUUAUUUAUGAUCAGCCUAUUAAUUAAAAAUAUUUUGCUUGACAA
Molecule: non-coding RNA, 4070 nt
Organism: Oryctolagus cuniculus (rabbit)
Lineage: Eukaryota; Metazoa; Chordata; Mammalia; Lagomorpha; Leporidae
Source: RefSeq, a predicted model, not a curated record